Molecule: small nuclear RNA, 20 nt
Filed under: Arabidopsis thaliana (thale cress)
Lineage: Eukaryota; Viridiplantae; Streptophyta; Magnoliopsida; Brassicales; Brassicaceae
Description: snRNA_19172
Source: RNAcentral
CAAAUCGUUCGUCUGACUUG